GGCUCGACCGCGAAUGAGGGGCACUGAUGUCAAGGACUUGUUCCUCCUUACCGAGAAAGUGUCGUCGAGCGACUGCUGAAAAACUUUCUGCACUCCACGAGUGUGCUGCGCUCGCCUUCCCGGAGAAGAGAAGAGAGGAGAAGAGAGGAGAAGAGAAGAGAAGAGAAGAGAAGAGAAGAGAAGAGAAGAGAAGAGAAGAGGCAUCGAUCGAUCGGAGCUCGCGUUUCACCGGAGGAGCAAAGUGCCUCGGUUGUUUGGUAAGUGUGGUCUUUCAUCAUAUAGCUCGCCUUCACGGACAUCAACAACGGACUGACUCAGCUAAACUCUAUAACUGGGGAGGUCUGUUUAUUUAAUUUGGCGAUAUAAUCCUGUUGGUGAUGGAGGUCAUUUAUGAAUAGCAAUAGUGUCGUUUGUUUCUUGACACAGGAAAUCUUUGCUGAUCCUCUCUCAUUUAGGUUUGGGGUUUAUGGCCUGCUGAUUAGUGAAGCCUAUGUGUCUCCAAAUUCAUAAUUAAUAUUGCUACAUAUCUACACAUUGCAUUAUAUGCAUUCAGAUGUUAUUUUUUAACCUUCACUGCUCAUGUAAGAGUUAAUAUGCGAUCACAUAAGUCAGAAAUGUUUUCCUUAUUUGUAGAAACAUUUAAAAAUAUAUUAUAUAUAGCUAUAUAUAAUAUGAAUUUUUCUGUUUUUCGAUAACAGUAUCUUAUUGAUUUUAAUACAUGAAAAUAAUGUAAUAAAAAAAAUAUCAUGAUACUUAAAGUGAAUAUUAAAAUUGCUUCCUCAAAAAGUAUUUGUAUUAAAUGUGCACAUCACUAUAAUAAUUUACUCUGUUUUACAUUAAACUUGUAAUUUUUUCCCCCUCUUCUUAUAUACAAAGUUUAAAGAAGACAAGGUAGUCAAAGACGCCAACCAUCUUUCUAAAACACAUUUCUCUUUAAUGUUUAUAUAUAAACAUCUCUGUAAGUCACCGUGUAUGGCGCUUGUUCUUUCACAAAGUUCAGUAAUGCAGAAGUCAAACAGUCUUGUGAUUUAUAAUGUUGACAGUGAGAAAGCAAGCUGAAUUUGGGGGGUGUUUCCUCAGACUCCAGGCAGGUAUGGGCAAGUGAUAGAUCUUUUUCCUCCAACUUAACUUAACUGGUAUUAGCACCAUCAAUGAACGGUAAAAUAUUCUGCAGGCAAAGACUUCAAUCCCUCUGUAUAAACCAAAUGUUACUGAAAAGCCGUGUAAAAACGAAUAAAUGCUCCUGUUCCACCAAGAACUGAGUCGUCUUUGACAUCUGAGAUUACUUUUGGCUUAUUUCCGAGGUACAACUUUCUGGAGCCAGAGCCGAACUGAAUCAAGGAUAUAUGGCCUGCACCCUUUUGUGAAGCCUUUGGAAAGCGUCGGAGCACAGAGCGUGGACAUUCACUGCACAUUGUGAAUGCUGGGCUCUCUGAACGGCAUUAGAGCUGAUAUGAGCUGGGCUCAAUGACUGACAGUAUUUUACUGGGUUAGCUUGAUGCAUGGUACCAUGGAGAGCAACAAUCUUCAACUGAGAUCACAUUUAAGUGAAGGACGUAAUGAACAGCUGUGGUUGAUGAUAUCGGUCUAUGAGGAUAUCUAUACUGUAGGAGUCAUUGGUCCAUCUAAACCCCACCUCACUGCACUGCUCCACUCGAGGUCAAGAGGUCAGCUGAGGUCACAGGUGAAAGCGUCAGGCCACACAGGAGCCUCCCUACUGGACGGAGGUUAACUGGAUGUCCUGUUUUCACUGGAUCAUCAAGAGCUCACUUCCUGUAUAACCAUUAAGACACGUCAAGACGAGAGAGCAGUGCUUGCGACCAUGUCCCAUUGUUGUUGUUGCUUCCGUACUCUGUUCCUGGUUUAUGCAUUAGUGUGCUUUCAGCCUUGAAUGUGAACCAUGUGAACUAUACUCUAAUCUUGCCAUAUAAACAUUGUAUUUUGUACAUAAUGCAUUUUCCCACUAAUCACUAGGGAUUACAACAGCAUUACUUCUUUUACUUACAUUUCUUUUAAUCAGAUAUAUACAGUAGGUGCUGUAUAAUAAUCACACCAUCCUCAUCCAGUUAAAGGACAUUAUAUAAAAGAUGGUUUAAGAGAAAUAAGAAAGUGUGCAAGCCAAAUUCAAACUCUUAUCUCCCACACGAUAACCAUACUUUAAAAGUGUGUAAUUUGGUAAAAACGUGCUCAAUUAAAGACCAAAAUAUUUUUCAAGAA
Molecule: long non-coding RNA, 2217 nt
Organism: Carassius gibelio (silver crucian carp)
Lineage: Eukaryota; Metazoa; Chordata; Actinopteri; Cypriniformes; Cyprinidae
Exons: 3
Source: RefSeq, a predicted model, not a curated record